Molecule: non-coding RNA, 45 nt
Filed under: Schistosoma curassoni
Lineage: Eukaryota; Metazoa; Platyhelminthes; Trematoda; Strigeidida; Schistosomatidae
Source: RNAcentral
AUUCAGCUGACUAGUCCCAAAUAGAACGAAAUGUGCGUCCUCGAU